GGAUGAGCAAUUAUCCCCAAUAGCCUAAAUACAAAAUAUAAGAACACAUAGUAGAAACUACAAAAACAUUUUUACCGGCAACAAUAACCUCGUUGAUAUAGUGGUAUUGUUGAUAACUCAAAAAGCCCCAGCGUUUUGUGCGCGAAAAUUAUAUUAAUAUUAACGAAAGCGAAUAUGCUGAAUAUGUAUAAAUCUGCAGAAGAUACAUAUGUAUCAUUAAUUUUUCUAUGUACAAUAUUGUAAGCAACAUAACUGAUCGGAACAGGAAAAGUAGAUGAGAAGAGGGAAACGGUUAGGAUAGCGUGAAAUUCAAGAUCAAUGCGAAAGAAAUAAAUUAUAAGGGUUAAAUAAGGCAUAAAUUAAGGAAGUCAUCGAAACAAAACCUAAGAAAAAAACACAAGACAGCAGGGGAAAACAGUCAUAGAGACCUAAGGGCCUCCAAGAACACCAACUUAUUACGAAAGGUAAAACGAGGCAGUUGUUCUACAUUAAGAAUGGGAUGAUGGCACGACGGUUUGCUGGAUACUUCGGAAACUUUUUACAGUACCAUUGAUGGGCUUUUAAUGCUCUUGGAAGCAUCAACAGAAUCUCUGACAGGAAGAACCACCAAAAAGGUUCGGCAGAAGGACCGGCUGCCAAGUAGCAUCCAAACCAUUCAAUCCAUUCGCAAAAGUAAUUGGGACACGAAACAUACUGGAAAAGCCCUCCAUAGGGAAUUCGAUAAUACGAAUUCUCAGAUUGUACGGUGUCAAGAUUAUCGGGAUCCUUUUUUUUAUUAGAUGAUCUUCUUAGGUCGUAUAAGAUGUUGUCGUGAUACAUAUUUCCCAACCAACCCAUUAACCAAAGAAACAUACCAAUGUAUCGACGAAUGAUAGACACUGGAUGAUGCUGGACGCUAGCUUGAACCAAGUACAGACCUAUUGACAUACCGUUCAAAAAGUUAAACAAUACCGCAGAAACAAACACCGUCCAAUGCAUGGGUGAAACUUGUGGUGCCAUCAAAAGAGGACUCACUAGCGCUCGGUUGGCGUAAUGAACUAAAAACAUACCAGCAAGUACCUUUCGACAGCUAUCCAGAUAAUCUCGGUUCGACCCAUCUCCAAGAGAGGGCAGCGUCGACUCGAAGUGUCGAUUGUUACGAAUUGCAUAAAGGAACGUCAGUGGUGCUACCAGCUCCAUCAAUACCCAUCCCACUCUACCCGAUAUGUAUCCUUUGCUGAAUAAUUUGCUUUGCUUGGCUAAUUUGCCAUGCGGCGCAUUUACAAACAGAGUGCAUGGGAACACUCCGACAACGAAUAUUUUCAACAGUUUCAGGUAGUCUGAAUAAAACAUGUUGAAAAAAAAAAAAAAGCGAUUUCUUUACCUAGAAGCACACAAUUCUUCUCGUCAACUUGAGGCAGACUUACAAUAAUUUUCCAAAUUCUUUCUAAAUUGGAAACGAAAAAUUGCACAAUUUCAAGGUGCAGAAGUCGCUAAAAAUUUGAUAAAAUCUUAUAACAAAAUCUACUCACUUUAUCACGAGAUCUCUCAGCGAUAUUAUGCUCCAAUUAACGUACCUAUCGGGAAAUAAAAGUGACUGGUUUUUUCGUUAUGUUGGGAUGGGGAGGUGGUGUGAAAAUUUCUGAGUAUAUAUAGUAAAGGCCCCCAAGACAGUUAGUCUUUUCUUCAUAACACAACGCCUCUGUGGUAAAAGAAAUCUCUUCGUUCCCUCAGGAAGAA
Molecule: long non-coding RNA, 1719 nt
Filed under: Schizosaccharomyces pombe (fission yeast)
Lineage: Eukaryota; Fungi; Ascomycota; Schizosaccharomycetes; Schizosaccharomycetales; Schizosaccharomycetaceae
Description: non-coding RNA, possible alternative UTR
Source: RNAcentral